UACGUAGGGGGCAAGCGUUGUCCGGAAUCAUUGGGCGUAAAGCGCGUGUAGGCGGCCAGAAAAGUCCGCUGUGAAAACUCGAGGCUCAACUUCGAGCUGUCGGUGGAAACUUUCUGGCUAGAGUCCGGAAGAGGAGAAUGGAAUUCCUGGUGUAGCGGUGAAAUGCGCAGAUAUCAGGAGGAACACCGAUAGCGAAGGCAGCUCGCUGGGACGGUACUGACGCUGAGGUGCGAAAGCGUGGGGAGCGAACAGG
This 253-nucleotide ribosomal RNA is filed under the name uncultured bacterium. RNAcentral describes it as "partial 16S ribosomal RNA". It matches the Rfam family "Bacterial small subunit ribosomal RNA", at positions 524 to 776 of the family's 1533-position model. The record is from RNAcentral.